UUACAACCUUUGAGGGAGCAGAGUAGUUAGGGCUUGCGUGGUAAGAGAGGGAAUGUCGAGGCUGAAAACAUUUCUCCAUGUGCUUAAUGAAUGAACACUCCUUAGGUUUUUCCCUGAAUGAAAGUUGCUGUCGGCGAUUUUUUAAUAGGGGAAAACGUCUACAGGCGUUAACUGUCUAAAGUGGGACUUAUAUUAAAAAUAUUCGUUCAAUUAGGGUGGCACCACGGGAUCAAAACUCUCGUCCCUGAU
RNAcentral lists this non-coding RNA (249 nucleotides) under Anaerobacillus sp. RNAcentral describes it as "T-box sequence". It matches the Rfam family "T-box leader". From Rfam's summary of the family: Uncharged tRNA acts as the effector for transcription antitermination of genes in the T-box leader family. T-boxes are found upstream of many aminoacyl-tRNA synthetase genes and some amino acid biosynthetic genes usually in Gram-positive bacteria. Lineage: Bacteria; Bacillati; Bacillota; Bacilli; Caryophanales; Bacillaceae. The record is from RNAcentral.